AUUAGUUGUCAUCGGUUCGAAGAAUGCAUAACCAAGCAUUGUGGAUUUCUUCCCCAAGACAUUUGUAAAAUCAUUGAUGACAAAAACAGCAAGCCUCAUGAAGUCAGCUAUGAUGCAAUACGUCGACAACUACAUUGUUUUCAAGAAAUGACUAAAUCGGGAGAUGUUCUCCUAUUCUACUAUGCUGGACAUGGAAUUCUUGAAAAAGGUUACCCAGCUCUUGCCAUGUAUGAUAACUUGACUAUCACAGGUAAAACUCGUAAAAUGUAGGUUUUUAUUUUUGCAACCACAAUUAGAUCUACGGUGAACUUAUACAUUCUAUUUAAACCCACGAGCCACUAUAUUGGCCAAACUUUUUUUUAACAUUUUUUCACUUUUUUUUUAAACAAUUUUUCACUUAAAAAAAGAGAAGAUGGGUCAAACAUGAUUUUGAAGAAAUUCUACAUUUAUUAAAGUACUUUUUUUAUGAAGAAAAACAUUAAAAAAGUACUUGAAACAGGAUUUGCAAUGACUUGUCACCUUAUACCCAACCAGCACCAUGUAUCUAUUAUUUUAAUAUUUUUACAUAUUGGUAUAUUAUUAUUUGUUUUUGACGGAAUUGCUGGGAACAUCAUUUUUAUUCAUUUAUGUUUUUUGCUAAAUUCUGGCAGCAUAACCAGCAUUAUCAUAUAUUUUAAACUUAUA
RNAcentral lists this long non-coding RNA (684 nucleotides) under Trifolium pratense (red clover). RNAcentral describes it as "long non-coding RNA (TPRA_LNC009645)". Lineage: Eukaryota; Viridiplantae; Streptophyta; Magnoliopsida; Fabales; Fabaceae. The record is from RNAcentral.